UUAUAUAUUUUGCACGUGGAAUAUAAGUGUUACGUGGGACCUGGUUCUGUUUUGCACGGUACGACGUUUUCCUCGUGCCCGCGAUUUCCAUCACGACUUGAUGCGAAGGGGGAAUAUAAUGAGAGUGUGCCGUGGUAGGAGGAUUCUCUUUCUUGCACGCUCGCAUGCCGAGGAAGACGGAGAGUGGAGGCGCAGACAGGGCGCGAGACGCAUGUGAGAGCAUGCAUUCGGGGCAUCGCCGUGCCGCGGCAGGGAUUUCGGCGUCUUUAACGACGGUGAUUUCAUCCGUGAAGAUGAGAGUUUGGCGUUACCUCGUUAUUAAGUCGUUAUUAUGAGCCCUUGCAUCAAGCCGAAUAAUAUUCGGCGCAGUAUGCGAUAUUAAUGCACAAAGCCGGCGAAAAAGACGCAUUAGAAAAAGUCUCGAAAUAUGUGAUAUGUCCAAUCGAAGAGCGAGAGAAGAAAAAA
Mycetomoellerius zeteki is the source of this 465-nucleotide long non-coding RNA. RefSeq lists it as uncharacterized. The transcript has 3 exons. The record is from RefSeq and is a predicted model, not a curated record. NCBI's taxonomy places the organism in Eukaryota, Metazoa, Arthropoda, Insecta, Hymenoptera, Formicidae.